GACGAACGCUGGCGGCGUGCUUAACACAUGCAAGUCGAACGGAAAGGCCCUGCUUUUGUGGGGUGCUCGAGUGGCGAACGGGUGAGUAACACGUGAGUAACCUGCCCUUGACUUUGGGAUAACUUCAGGAAACUGGGGCUAAUACCGGAUAUGAUCUCCUGCUGCAUGGUGGGGGUUGGUAAGUUUCGGCGGUUGGGGAUGGACUCGCUGCUUAUCAGCUUGUUGGUGGGGUAGUGGCUUACCAAGGGUUUGACGGGUAGCCGGCCUGAGAGGGUGACCGGCGACAGUGGGACUGAGAGACGGAGCAGACUGCUACGGGAGGCAGCAGUGGGGAAUAUGGCAGAAUGGGCGGAAGCCUGAUGAAGAAACGCAGCGAGCGGGAUGACGGCCUUCGGGUGGUAAACAGAUUUCGAAUGAGACGAAGAGGGAGUGACGGUAAUGGGUAAAGAAGCAACGGCUAACUACGUG
Molecule: ribosomal RNA, 468 nt
Filed under: uncultured bacterium
Lineage: Bacteria
Description: partial 16S ribosomal RNA
Rfam family: Bacterial small subunit ribosomal RNA
Source: RNAcentral